This 77-nucleotide transfer RNA is filed under the name Bacillota bacterium. RNAcentral's name for it is "tRNA-Pro". It matches the Rfam family "tRNA". From Rfam's summary of the family: Transfer RNA (tRNA) molecules are approximately 80 nucleotides in length. Their secondary structure includes four short double-helical elements and three loops (D, anti-codon, and T loops). The record is from RNAcentral. RNAcentral also lists the same sequence under 1 other name. Lineage: Bacteria; Bacillati; Bacillota.
CGGGGUAUAGCUCAGUUUGGUAGAGCGCUUGGUUCGGGACCAAGAGGCCACAGGUUCAAAUCCUGCUACUCCGACCA